GAGGUGGCUGCCUGGGAUGAACUCCUCCAGGACAUCGCCCUGCUACCUAUGGACGUGGCUGACUCCCCGGAUGCCAUCUCUUGGCACCUAGAUCCCUCCGCCUUCUCCACCAAAUCCCUUUACGCGGCUAUUGCCCCCUCGUCAGCCCCGGAGCCCUUCGGCCUUAUCUGGGACAUCCGCCUCCCACUUAAGAUUCGGAUCUUUCUGUGGCAGUGGAUCCGCGGCCGCCUCCCGACCGGCGUUGAGGUCCGUAAGCGCCAUGGUCCUGGUGAUGGAAUGUGCCCCCUGUGUGGCACGGUAGAGGACGCUAAUCACAUCUUCUUCUCGUGCUACACGGCACAGUUCCUUUGGUCGUGUUUCCGCGAAACGGUUGGCGGACAGUGGUGCAAUACCAACUUCCCUGACUUGCUUGCGGAAAUUCAAGCCUCCCCCCCUCGCUACAGACAUAUUAGAUGGUUGUGCGUCGGGGUGCUUGCCUGGACCUUGUGGACGGUUCGCAAUAAGCUCGUCAUUCAGAAGGUGCCCCUUCGACGUGCGACUGACUCCAUCUUUAAAAUGUGUGGUUACUUGCAGCUCUGGCGGCCGCUUAGCCGCCCUCCGGACCGGGACGCCAUCGACAGUCUCCUCAUCGACCUUCGUUCGUUGGCCUUCCGCCUGGCACCUCCGCUCCCGCCGCCACCCCCGGAGCCCGACUAG
RNAcentral lists this ribosomal RNA (696 nucleotides) under Triticum aestivum (bread wheat). Its description in RNAcentral is "partial small subunit ribosomal RNA". Lineage: Eukaryota; Viridiplantae; Streptophyta; Magnoliopsida; Poales; Poaceae. The record is from RNAcentral.